RNAcentral lists this ribosomal RNA (468 nucleotides) under uncultured bacterium. Its description in RNAcentral is "partial 16S ribosomal RNA". It matches the Rfam family "Bacterial small subunit ribosomal RNA", at positions 28 to 507 of the family's 1533-position model. The record is from RNAcentral.
GACGAACGCUGGCGGCGUGCUUAACACAUGCAAGUCGAACGGAAAGGCCCUGCUUUUGUGUGGUGCUCGAGUGGCGAACGGGUGAGUAACACGUGAGUAACCUGCCCUUGACUUUGGGAUAACUUCAGGAAACUGGUGCUAAUACCGGAUAGGAGCUCCUGCUGCAUGGUGGGGUUUGGAAAGUUUCGGCGGUUGGGGAUGGACUCGCGGCUUAUCAGCUUGUUGGUGGGGUAGUGGCUUACCAAGGCUUUGACGGGUAGCCGGCCUGAGAGGGUGACCGGCCACAUUGGGACUGAGAUACGGCCCAGACUCCUACGGGAGGCAGCAGUGGGGAGUAUUGCACAAUGGGCGGAAGCCUGAUGCAGCAACGCCGCGUGCGGGAUGACGGCCUUCGGGUUGUAAACCGCUUUCGCCUGUGACGAAGCGUGAGUGACGGUAAUGGGUAAAGAAGCACCGGCUAACUACGUG